UCUUUCUCUUUCCCUUUGCGCGAAGAGGACUCAUUGAAGGAGGGAGAACCGACACGCUUUGCGCCGGGCCUCCUCUGAGGCGUGCGUACAUGCGUCGUCGUUGUGGCAGGAUCAAGACGCAGAUAAUAACUUCAUACGGAGCGCCGGUGGUCUUCCGCACACGCGGACAUAACAUAUAGCCGAUCGCAGACUCGCGGCAACGAUACACGCCGAUCCGCCUAUAGAAAGAGAAACGCUUGGAGGAGAAAGUUUUGUUAGACUGUUUACUUCUGUAACUGACAUGCGUUUCUUUUGGAACACCCUAUAUGCACAUUAUGGCCGCAUACAUCGUCGAAGCACGCAGUGAUCGUGUAAUAAGAUAUUACAAGAGCAAACCCGCGAGAGCCCGUCGGGCAUAAGCAGAGAACAAGACUCGGUGCCGUGAAGAUAUCGAUUGGAUCUCUCGAAGCAAGCGGUCGUUGAAACAAUCGCGCCGAAACGCGGCGUCGAUCUAACUCUCGUCUACGCACUUAAUGACUAUCAUCGGGACAUCUGCCUCUAUGUACGACGCAAUUCUGAAGCGUCACUUUUUCUGCGGAGCAGCAACAAUAGACGAUUGGAAAGAUAAUCAAUAUAUGAUCGACAGACAGAAUCGACGAAUACGCAGUAAUUCGCAGCUUCGUGGAUCAAAUUGUGGUAACGGGGAAUCCCAUGACACGGUAAAAGCUUUUAACGUGACGAGAAGACAAAAGCUCGCGCGCGCGAAUUGCGAGGAGGAGAGAGACGAUGCGGACGGAGCCGAACUCGAAGAGAGAUCUCGUUUACUCGCUCUACCAAUCUUCUCCUGGGCGCUUAAAGCUCCGUGAUGCUUACCACGGAAUUGGUAGGCCAUAAUAAACCCAGAUCUGAUUACCCCGGGAUUGCUUGAUUUGCAUCCAGCUAUAGUUCACUCAGAACGACGACGUCCCGGCGCGGCGCGACGUAGCGCGGCGCCACGCCGAGCCGAGACGUUUCUUGAGGCGCGCCACGAUGAGAUUGAGAAGCACGCGAGGGUUUCAUGCAUGUCAUCAAGUGCUUCGCAUAUUCCGCCAGGCGUGCAGAUGCAAGGAACUCACUUUGAUAGAGCUCGCUGAUGGAACAGCGACGACAAUGGGAACGUCUCGUUCGCCGAUUUCUACUCGGAGAAUCGCGAGCUACUUCCGCUUCGUAAAUCCGAACGAACUAAUCAGCGCACGGCUCUAUUUAGGGAAAGCAUUUGUUCUGAUUUUCGACAACAUCGACUGUGCAAACUCGAUUAGUCACGCGCUGUAUCGAAGAUAAUUAUGCACACGUUCCAAAAAAGUUAUAGAGUAAAGUGUCCGAAUAUCGGGUGGUUAAUGAUAUCUUAAUAAUCUUUAUGUCAGAAAAUAAAUUUGAAGUAUGCUGUU
This is a long non-coding RNA of Linepithema humile (Argentine ant), 1406 nucleotides long. RefSeq lists it as uncharacterized. The record is from RefSeq and is a predicted model, not a curated record. NCBI's taxonomy places the organism in Eukaryota, Metazoa, Arthropoda, Insecta, Hymenoptera, Formicidae.